This 84-nucleotide transfer RNA is filed under the name Sphingomonas sp. SRS2. It matches the Rfam family "tRNA". Rfam says of the family: Transfer RNA (tRNA) molecules are approximately 80 nucleotides in length. Their secondary structure includes four short double-helical elements and three loops (D, anti-codon, and T loops). Further hydrogen bonds mediate the characteristic L-shaped molecular structure. tRNAs have two regions of fundamental functional importance: the anti-codon, which is responsible for specific mRNA codon recognition, and the 3' end, to which the tRNAs corresponding amino acid is attached (by aminoacyl-tRNA synthetases). tRNAs cope with the degeneracy of the genetic code in two manners: having more than one tRNA (with a specific anti-codon) for a particular amino acid; and 'wobble' base-pairing, i.e. permitting non-standard base-pairing at the 3rd anti-codon position. The record is from Rfam by way of RNAcentral. Lineage: Bacteria; Pseudomonadati; Pseudomonadota; Alphaproteobacteria; Sphingomonadales; Sphingomonadaceae.
GCCCGCUUGGCGGAACGGUAGACGCAACAGUCUUUAAAACUGAAGUCCUUGCGGGACAUACGGGUUCGAGUCCCGUAGCGGGCA